Molecule: long non-coding RNA, 615 nt
Organism: Nomascus leucogenys (northern white-cheeked gibbon)
Lineage: Eukaryota; Metazoa; Chordata; Mammalia; Primates; Hylobatidae
Exons: 4
Source: RefSeq, a predicted model, not a curated record
AAGGUCUGCCUACAGAGAUGCUGGAACUACUGAUUUGGAGGUGCCCGUUGGAGCCCAGGAACCAAGGAACUGGAGGCUCCCCUGCUCUGAUCGUGCGCCUGGCUUGGCUGCCUCCUGCAGCCCAGCGCUACCUGCACAGCUUCUAGGAGAGGCUGUGCCUCCCACGCAUCCCAUAAGAUGUCUACAGGAAUUCAGAGGCCAAGGAGCCCACGGAGGCCUGGAGAGAGGAGGCAGGGUGUCCCGGAGAAGGAGGAGGGCAGAGCACAAGCUGCUGCGUUUCUACUCUGCCUCCUGUGUCAGCAACUCUCCCCAUCCACAGGAAGGAGCCCGGGCAGAACUGAAGGUUAUCACAAGGAGCUGCUAAACAGAUCAAAAGGCAUUGAAGGAUGGAGUGACAUUACAUAUGAUCUGCCCAAUCCUUGACUGCACAUCACAUAAGCAGUCCUAAGGAUGUGAAGUAUAUGAUGCCACCAGUUGAAUGGAUUGAAGCUCCUACACAUACACUGUUGGUUUCAAAUUCUCUACUCUACAACAUCAGAAAAGAAUCUAUUUUUGGUUAGAUAACAAAUGUGCUAUGUUACUCUAGAAUAAAGACAUCUGUUUACUUACAAUUUU